This 265-nucleotide long non-coding RNA is filed under the name Zostera marina. RNAcentral describes it as "long non-coding RNA (ZMAR_LNC000843)". The record is from RNAcentral. Lineage: Eukaryota; Viridiplantae; Streptophyta; Magnoliopsida; Alismatales; Zosteraceae.
AUUAUUCUUCCAUCUUUUAAACCACAAACCAAGAAAGGCAUUAAUAGUCAUAGUCAGUCCGGCGCUUGCCCAGUCAGGAUUGAUCUUGAGCUGAGCUCCCGGAGAGGGAGACCCCUUUGAAGAAUCAAGAAUCAGGAUUCAGGACUGAGGAAUAAAUUCUGUAUUUAUUUGCAUCCUUUAAUUUAACAUAAACUGACAACUUAGAAGAAACUGUAAGUCACUCUUACUUUUCUGAACUCAGAAAUAGUGGUGAUGAGCAGACGAG